CUGCCAUGUUGGCAGCAGCUCUGUGGAAAGGCCCAUGUGGCAAGGAAUUGAGAAAUCUUGCCAACCGCCCAUGAGAAACUGAGGCCUCAAGUCCACAGCCAGAUGUUUCUGGAUGAGAUUAGCAUUCAAAUUCGUGGACUCAUUAAAGUAGAUGGCCCUCUCCAAUAUGGGUGGGCAUCAUCCAAUCUGUUGAAGGCGUGAAGAGAACAAGAGAAGGAGGAAGGAAGAAUUCACCUUUUUUCUUGCUGCCCACCUGCUUGGGCUGGGACAUUGCAUCUCACCUUCUCCAGCCUUUGGAUGAGGAUUUACACCCUGGUUCUCAGGCCUUCAGGCUCUAACUGGAGCUACACUAUCAACUUUCCUGGGCCUCCAGAUUGCAGAUGGUGGAUCACGGUACUUUUUAGCCUCCAUCAUAAUAUGAGAAAAAAGAGGCACAGUGAAGCUAAAUAUAUUGGCUAAAGAUCACAAAGCUAAUAUCGCUCUUUUCUCUGAAAUUUGCCUGGGGCCGCAGCAUAAAUCUACAGUUACAACCAUGAAGAUAGAAGUUGCUCAUUAAUUCAGAGGGCAGGAACUUGUGAACAUAACUGUUAGAAGAUUAUCAAGGUUAUCUGUGCUCAAUGUGUGCAUCUCAGAUCAGCAGCAUCAGCAUCACCUGGGAGCUUGUUAGAGAUGGAGACUCUCAGGCUCCACGGCAGACUUCCUGAAUCAGAAGCUACAAUUUAACAGGAUCCUCGGGUGAUCUGAAAAUGCAAUAAAGUUUGGGAAGCACUGCUGUUGGUCAUUAGACAAUCUAAUGAACUAAGACUUUUGCCGAGCAUCUGAGUUGAAAUUUUUCAAGAUGAAAAGUUGCUAAAGAAAGAGAAAGGGAAGCGGUUUGCUCCAGUAUUCCUCUUUCCACCUUCCCACUGACUGGGAAGCAGCGGUUAGCAGAGCCACAGCCUUGGAUUAGAGAUAAGAGGGACGUGUUGAGGAAGGUGGAGUCUCC
This 985-nucleotide long non-coding RNA is filed under the name Pan troglodytes (chimpanzee). RNAcentral's name for it is "long non-coding RNA NONPTRT013546". The record is from RNAcentral. Lineage: Eukaryota; Metazoa; Chordata; Mammalia; Primates; Hominidae.